UUGGAAAGGAUACCUGGAACUAUUU
RNAcentral lists this non-coding RNA (25 nucleotides) under Rattus norvegicus (Norway rat). Lineage: Eukaryota; Metazoa; Chordata; Mammalia; Rodentia; Muridae. The record is from RNAcentral.